AGGUCCUCAAGAAGUAUUUGUUGAAAAAAUAAACAGAGCAACAAAUCUUAUUUGAGCACCUGUUAUG
RNAcentral lists this microRNA precursor (67 nucleotides) under Mesocricetus auratus (golden hamster). RNAcentral's name for it is "mir-1264 microRNA precursor family". It matches the Rfam family "mir-1264 microRNA precursor family". Lineage: Eukaryota; Metazoa; Chordata; Mammalia; Rodentia; Cricetidae. The record is from Rfam by way of RNAcentral.